RNAcentral lists this ribosomal RNA (252 nucleotides) under uncultured bacterium. Its description in RNAcentral is "partial 16S ribosomal RNA". It matches the Rfam family "Bacterial small subunit ribosomal RNA", at positions 524 to 776 of the family's 1533-position model. The record is from RNAcentral.
UACAGAGGUCCCGAGCGUUGUUCGGAUUCAUUGGGCGUAAAGGGUGCGUAGGCGGCGGGGCAAGUCUGAUGUGAAAUCCUGGGGCUCAACCCCAGAACUGCAUUGGAUACUGCCUUGCUAGAGUACUGGAGAGGGAACUGGAAUUUACGGUGUAGCAGUGAAAUGCGUAGAGAUCGUAAGGAAGGCCAGUGGCGAAGGCGAGUUCCUGGACAGUUACUGACGCUGAGGCACGAAGGCCAGGGAGCAAACGGG